UACGGAGGGUGCAAGCGUUGUUCGGAAUUACUGGGCGUAAAGCGCGUGUAGGCGGCCCUGCAAGUCAGAUGUGAAAGCCCUCGGCUUAACCGGGGAAGUGCAUCUGAAACUGCUUGGCUUGAGUACCGGAGAGGAAGGCGGAAUUCCCAGUGUAGAGGUGAAAUUCGUAGAUAUUGGGAGGAACACCGGUGGCGAAAGCGGCCUUCUGGACGGAUACUGACGCUGAGACGCGAAAGCGUGGGGAG
RNAcentral lists this ribosomal RNA (245 nucleotides) under uncultured bacterium. RNAcentral's name for it is "partial 16S ribosomal RNA". It matches the Rfam family "Bacterial small subunit ribosomal RNA", at positions 524 to 768 of the family's 1533-position model. The record is from RNAcentral.